Molecule: small RNA, 107 nt
Filed under: Salmonella enterica subsp. enterica serovar Derby
Lineage: Bacteria; Pseudomonadati; Pseudomonadota; Gammaproteobacteria; Enterobacterales; Enterobacteriaceae
Also listed under: 4 other names
Description: partial RtT sRNA
Rfam family: RtT RNA
About the family: This family represents a bacterial cis-regulatory element known as RtT RNA.
Source: RNAcentral
GAAGCUUCGACUAAGGUUCGAUUCGAGCGUCAGCGAGAAAGCGUUGCCGCAGGCAACGACCCGAAGGGCGAAGCGCGCAGCGCUGAGUCAUCCUUCCCCCACCACCA